AGGUGGGCAAGGACAAGAGAGAGCAGAUGCCAACAAGGCUUGGAAGCUGGGCCAAGGGAGGUUUACGCUGGCCAUUGGGAAGAACUUGUGCCCAGCGUGGGCCAUCAGAUACUGCAAUGGCCUGACAGGGGCUGCUGGAGUCAUCAUUGUGGCACGGGUGCAAGGCAAGCCAGGCCGCAGCGCUCGGGCCCCGCUCUGCUGGCCAUGCUUGCCGCCAUGGCUCCCAGCUUGGACUCAACAUUCUCUCAGGGCUCUCUGCAGCCAGGGCGUUCUGUGCUUCUGUGACAUCACAGCCUCUGGGGACGGCACGCUGGCUGGCAACUGUCCCCAGCUGUUGCUGCGCCCCAGUGCCCAGGCACAGCUGCUCGCAGAGAGACGCCCAGAGCCUCGGUGCUGCUGGCAGAGCACUAUGGCUGCUCACGGCUCCUCCACGCUGCUGCAGCUUUACGUGCUGCUGCUCUUGGCCCAUCCCCUCGACCUGGCUGCUCACGGCUCCUCCGCGCUGCUGCAGCUUUACGUGCUGCUGCUCUUGGCUCAUCCCCUCGACCCUGUGAGCAAACCUGAGCGCAGCACGGAUGCCUCUCCUCUGCUUCUGGAGGAUUGUCAUCUGGACGAGUCGGACCCUGAGCGCAUCCGGUGGGCGGCCAGGACAUUCCUGCUCAUCGACCUGCUCAUCAUAGGAAUGGCCAUGGGAUGGUCGCUCGGAAAAAGAAUUCAGAGACGCUGGCGAGAGCGGAAUCUCCAGAGCCCUUCGGGCCGUGCGGGGCCCCGCCGCCAUCGAAGACAGGGCUGUCCCACGGAGCUGAUGCAGCUGCUGAUGGACAACCGCGACCUGAUGCGGCUGCUCCUUCGCGACAGCCCUCAACCAACCACCAAGAUGGCGGCAAAAGAGGGCAGUGACAGGAGACUCCGCACCUCCCCACAGCUCUGACCUCCAGCGUCGCGCUCCAGCUACAGAACCUUACGGGGAACGGGUGACCAGUGCCCAGCCCAGGCACUGCGACGUUCCCCACCUUACAAGUUAGCCACACCCCUGUUGUUGUUCGAUUCCCCACCACGUUUCCCCCAAGAAGUUGACCUUUCCCUUAGUGUUCAGUUCUAAACAGUUGAAGCAUUGAAGUUUCUUAGCCUUAAGAUUCUUACCCCAUAGUCUUCUAGUAACGUUGGAUUGUAGAUUUUAGAAGUAGUCAAGUGAAUAAAGUUCACGUUUUCUACA
This 1216-nucleotide long non-coding RNA is filed under the name Cyanistes caeruleus (blue tit). RNAcentral describes it as "lncRNA (ENSCCEG00000005846.1)". The record is from RNAcentral. Lineage: Eukaryota; Metazoa; Chordata; Aves; Passeriformes; Paridae.